Molecule: long non-coding RNA, 377 nt
Filed under: Pan troglodytes (chimpanzee)
Lineage: Eukaryota; Metazoa; Chordata; Mammalia; Primates; Hominidae
Description: long non-coding RNA NONPTRT010854
Source: RNAcentral
UGCAUUUAACUGCAUGGUGGUAGAGGGCAGUGUAAUUCCCUGGUUAUUCUGUAGACUAUCUCAAAUCCUUUUUGUCUCUUCUCAUUUCACUAACAGAAUUCAGAAGGAGCUAGCUGAAAUAACCCUUGAUCCUCCUCCUAAUUGCAGUGCUGGGCCUAAAGGAGAUAACAUUUAUGAAUGGAGAUCAACUAUACUUGGUCCACCGGGUUCUGUAUAUGAAGGUGGUGUGUUUUUUCUGGAUAUCACAUUUUCAUCAGAUUAUCCAUUUAAGCCACCAAAGGUAAGAAGCUUGAAGUGCAUUCUUUAGUAUUUAAUCCUUCUCCUCUAAAAUCGGUUAUUCUAGAACUUAAAUGUGUAUUGAUGCAGUUAUUUUGAUU